GUGUCAGCCGCCGCGGUAAGACGUAGGGCGCGAGCGUUGUCCGGAUUUAUUGGGCGUAAAGAGCUCGUAGGCGGCUCGUUGCGUCGGCUGUGAAAACCCGCAGCUCAACUGUGGGCUUGCAGCUGAUACGGGCGGGCUGGGAUUCGGUAGGGGAGACUGGAAUUCCUGGUGUAGCGGUGAAAUGCGCAGAUAUCAGGAGGAACACCGGUGGCGAAGGCGGGUCUCUGGGCCGAUAUCGACGCUGAGGAGCGAAAGCGUGGGGAGCGAACAGGAUUAGAAACCCCAGUAGUCC
This 292-nucleotide ribosomal RNA is filed under the name uncultured bacterium. RNAcentral describes it as "partial 16S ribosomal RNA". It matches the Rfam family "Bacterial small subunit ribosomal RNA", at positions 505 to 796 of the family's 1533-position model. The record is from RNAcentral.